UCACCUUAAACUGGAUGCCGACUGCCAUAAAACGGAUGCUUAUUUGCAUGUAGGCCGUGUGUGUGUUCUUCUUUCUGAUGGUUUACUUUAUUUAUAAAUCUUUUGAGUGUUUGUAGGUAUUCACAUUCACCAUCUCCUUAUAAGGGUUGUUCUAGAUCAAGAUCCUGAUCUAGGGGCAGGGUCCUAGUCGCCCCUUCCCA
This 200-nucleotide long non-coding RNA is filed under the name Elaeis guineensis (African oil palm). Its description in RNAcentral is "long non-coding RNA (EGUI_LNC030150)". Lineage: Eukaryota; Viridiplantae; Streptophyta; Magnoliopsida; Arecales; Arecaceae. The record is from RNAcentral.